RNAcentral lists this ribosomal RNA (251 nucleotides) under uncultured prokaryote. RNAcentral's name for it is "partial 16S rRNA". It matches the Rfam family "Bacterial small subunit ribosomal RNA", at positions 525 to 775 of the family's 1533-position model. The record is from RNAcentral.
ACAGAGGUGGCGAGCGUUACUCGGAUUUAUUGGGUGUAAAGGGCAAGUAGGCGUCUUGACAAGUUGGAGGUGAAAUCCUGCAGCUCAACUGCAGAACUGCUCCCAAAACUAUCAAGAUUGAGACUGGGAGAGGAAAGCGGAAUUCUCGGUGUAAGAGUGAAAUCUGUAGAUAUCGAGAGGAACACCAGUGGCGUAGGCGGCUUUCUGGUCCAGUACUGACGCUGAAGUGCGAAAGCUAGGUGAGCAAACAG